Molecule: ribosomal RNA, 650 nt
Filed under: uncultured beta proteobacterium
Lineage: Bacteria; Pseudomonadati; Pseudomonadota; Betaproteobacteria
Description: bacterial SSU rRNA
Rfam family: Bacterial small subunit ribosomal RNA
Source: RNAcentral
GCUUUACACAUGCAAGUUCGAACGGGUAACAGGUCUUCGGAUGCUGACGAGUGGCGAACGGGUGAGUAAUACAUCGGAACGUGCCUAGUAGUGGGGGAUAACUACUCGAAAGAGUAGCUAAUACCGCAUGAGAUCUACGGAUGAAAGCAGGGGACCUUCGGGCCUUGUGCUACUAGAGCGGCUGAUGGCAGAUUAGGUAGUUGGUGGGGUAAAGGCUUACCAAGCCUGCGAUCUGUAGCUGGUCUGAGAGGACGACCAGCCACACUGGGACUGAGACACGGCCCAGACUCCUACGGGAGGCAGCAGUGGGGAAUUUUGGACAAUGGGCGAAAGCCUGAUCCAGCAAUGCCGCGUGCAGGAUGAAGGCCCUCGGGUUGUAAACUGCUUUUGUACGGAACGAAAAGCCUGGGGCUAAUACCCCCGGGUCAUGACGGUACCGUAAGAAUAAGCACCGGCUAACUACGUGCCAGCAGCCGCGGUAAUACGUAGGGUGCAAGCGUUAAUCGGAAUUACUGGGCGUAAAGCGUGCGCAGGCGGUUUUGUAAGACAGUGGUGAAAUCCCCGGGCUCAACCUGGGAACUGCCAUUGUGACUGCAAGGCUAGAGUGCGGCAGAGGGGGAUGGAAUUCCGCGUGUAGCAGUGAAAUGCGU